Lathyrus oleraceus (garden pea) is the source of this 2003-nucleotide long non-coding RNA. RefSeq lists it as uncharacterized. Lineage: Eukaryota; Viridiplantae; Streptophyta; Magnoliopsida; Fabales; Fabaceae. The record is from RefSeq and is a predicted model, not a curated record. The transcript is spliced from 4 exons.
UGUCCCCAGCAGAGUCGCCAGCUCAACUAACUGAGUUAAUCACAAACUCAGUUGGUUAUUUUAUUCUCACUCAGUUAGUUGGGAAAAAAUGUUGACAGUUGUAGGGUUGGUUUAAGUUUCAGUUAAUUCUUUUCUACGUCAGUUGGAGAGGAUUGUGAGGUAGGGUUUGGUUUUUUUUUUAGUUCUAUUUAGGUGGAGGAGUUAGUUAUGAAGUGUUGUUCAGCUGGUUGGUGAGGGAUUCAAUUGUGCGUCUCUUGGCAGUGGUUCUUAACCUUCUUUAUUCUUCUAUUACCAAGUUGUUGAGUGGUUCCAUUCGGAUGCGGAUCGAAUCCGUGGUGAAGGUGUUCGGUUUCGCAUAGCCGUCGCUUGGGACGCUUCCUGCUUGCUAUUCUCAUUUCCUGUUUUUCUGUGGUAUAGAAGUUCUUGUAUGACAACGUCUCUUCAACGUUAUCAAUCCCACACCUGUCAUUGGCGGAAGCUGUUUUCUUUGUAGCAGAUAGAGAGUAUCGGCCUUCACUUGGAGCAAUACUUCUGAGUAUAAGCCUUUUGACAACACCUUUGUAAGUAGUUAUAAAGCAGAACCACCUGUCUCAAAAGUCCUCUCCUUCGAUAGUUCAGCAUCACUUUGCCACUUCCCGAGCUUUCUAUAAACCUUCAGCAACUUCAACGGUCACUCUCUGACCCAAAUGAACAACCUUACUCGAUUCCACGCACUUGUUAUAGCACCGCUGUGCAUUUUCUACUGUCAUGAGCUUGUUUGGUAUCAUAAUAAGGUUAGGUUAACUUGGAGUUGCAAGGUUUAAUUUGGCAUGUGGAUUGCUGAACUUUGUAGUGAAUUUCUUCGAUCAUGCUUUGAUCCACAUUGCAAUGCAGGAACUGGUGUUGAAUGAUUUUCCAACUGGUUAAUCAGCAGGAUAUUUGUUUGGCUCAGUACUGAAUUUGAGUGCAGGUCCAUUAGCAUAUUACAGAAUGGUGGCGCAUCCUGCAGAAAUGGCAUGCCCUUCAUGUCACCUGGUUUGGCCUGUGCAUAAAUGCAAGUUGCUUGUUUUCUUUGCUCACCUUUCUUGUACAUGAAUGGUUCUGCAGGUGGAUCUGGUUAAAAUGGUGAGUGCAGUGAAAAUGUUUUGUUGAUGUGCUUACUGCUUUGCUUCUUGGCGAAUGACCGUAAUUCUCUCUGAACUUAACGACAGGUUUUGUUCCCACAAGCAUCAUUAGUCAUAGAGUUAUGGUGUAUGGUUCCUUAUAACCUGCAGAUGCAGGUUUUGCUGCGAGUUACCGGUUAUCAAUUGUUCGACGACCAUGUCGCUCGGCCAAGGUAGGUAACAGGCUUUGUUGAAAUUCGCCUGGAAGCUGCGAGCAGCGGGAUGGUUAGUGCAGGGUAUUCCAGCUCUGUUGAAGCAAAGAGUUUGAUUCAGGAUCAUAGUACUUCUUUGUUGCGGGAAUACCCGCCGUUACAUGAUAGCUAUUGAAGAGCUUGUAACAGGUAGUGCACCGGAAGUAAGCAAAGCGGAUUCUGCCAUGGCAAUGUGAGGGUCAUGAAAAGAACUGGCGGCAGCUUCUGAUUCAAUUGGCUGAGGUUGUUUUGGCUAUUAUGCAUAUAUCCAUAUUGCAUGCUAUGAUACAUUUGAUAUGGCAUUAGCUUGUAGUUGGUACUGAGAUAAAGCUAUGUGCUUGAAUUUUGUACAUGCCAACUUUGAGUAGCCACAAAUCGGUAGGAGGAACAGUGACUUGAAGUUGGUCUUGCCCAUGAUUACACUGCUGAACUUGCGGUGCAUUUGCUAUGGAAGAUGAGCCUAAUGUGGGAUAAGUUACAAUUGGUUGUCUAAAUAAACUUUACCGAAGUAUGACAAAUCUUGACAAUGAGCGCAUGAAAAACUAAGAUAAUUAAAGACAUGCUAUUGAAUCCAAUUUGUUACAUAAAUUUCUACUGUUCCACUAUUAUGGUUUUAUAUAAAGGGCACACAAGUACUGAAUAUAUGUCACAAAGAAAACUAUAUUAAUGG